GAUGAACGCUGACAGAAUGCUUAACACAUGCAAGUCGAUGGGGAAGUGGUGCUUGCACCAUGGCAACCAUGGCGGACGGGUGAGUAACGCGUAAGGGACUUACCUGCAGGACUGGGAUAACAGGGGGAAACUCCUGACAAGACCGGAUAAUGUCAUGGAGCUGCAUGGCUUUAUGAUGAAAGGAGACGCCUGCGGAGAGCCUUGCGUCCUAUUAGCUAGUUGGUGAGGUAAUGGCUCACCAAGGCGAAGAUAGGUAGCCGGCCUGAGAGGGUGGACGGCCACAGGGGGACUGAGAUACGGCCCUUACUCCUACGGGAGGCAGCAGUGGGGAAUAUUGGAAAAUGGGGGCAACCCUGAUCCAGCAAUUCUGUGUGCAAGAAGAAGGUUUUCGGAUUGUAAAGUGCUUUCAGCAGGGAAGAAGUAAGUGACGGUACCUGCAGAAGAAGCGACGGCUAAAUACGUG
RNAcentral lists this ribosomal RNA (463 nucleotides) under uncultured bacterium. RNAcentral's name for it is "partial 16S ribosomal RNA". It matches the Rfam family "Bacterial small subunit ribosomal RNA", at positions 28 to 507 of the family's 1533-position model. The record is from RNAcentral.